Molecule: ribosomal RNA, 515 nt
Filed under: uncultured bacterium
Lineage: Bacteria
Description: partial 16S ribosomal RNA
Rfam family: Bacterial small subunit ribosomal RNA
Source: RNAcentral
GAUGAACGCUGGCGGCGUGCCUAAUACAUGCAAGUCGAGCGAAUGGAUUAAGAGCUUGCUCUUAUGAAGUUAGCGGCGGACGGGUGAGUAACACGUGGGUAACCUGCCCAUAAGACUGGGAUAACUCCGGGAAACCGGGGCUAAUACCGGAUAACAUUUUGAACCGCAUGGUUCGAAAUUGAAAGGCGGCUUCGGCUGUCACUUAUGGAUGGACCCGCGUCGCAUUAGCUAGUUGGUGAGGUAACGGCUCACAAAGGCAACGAUGCGUAGCCGACCUGAGAGGGUGAUCGACAACACCGGGACUGAGACACGGCCCAAACUCCUACGGGAGGCAGCAGUAGGGAAUCUUCCGCAAUGGACGAAAGUCUGACGGAGCAACGCCGCGUGAGUGGUGAAGGCUUUCGGGUCGUAAAACUCUGUUGUUAGGGAAGAACAAGUGCUAGUUGAAUAAGCUGGCACCUUGACGGUACCUAACCAGAAAGCCACGGCUAACUACGUGCCAGCCGCCGCGGUAA